RNAcentral lists this ribosomal RNA (453 nucleotides) under uncultured Porphyromonadaceae bacterium. RNAcentral describes it as "partial 16S ribosomal RNA". It matches the Rfam family "Bacterial small subunit ribosomal RNA", at positions 341 to 792 of the family's 1533-position model. The record is from RNAcentral. Lineage: Bacteria; Pseudomonadati; Bacteroidota; Bacteroidia; Bacteroidales; Porphyromonadaceae.
ACGGGAGGCAGCAGUGAGGAAUAUUGGUCAAUGGACGGAAGUCUGAACCAGCCAAGUCGCGUGAAGGAUGAAGGUAUUAUGUAUUGUAAACUUCUUUAGCAGUGGAGUAAUAAGGGGAUCGCGAUCCCUGAUGCAAGUACACUGAGAAUAAGGAUCGGCUAACUCCGUGCCAGCAGCCGCGGUAAUACGGAGGAUCCGAGCGUUAUCCGGAUUUAUUGGGUUUAAAGGGUGCGCAGGCGGUUUUUUAAGUCAGUGGUCAAAUCGCGGAGCUCAACUCCGUCCCGCCAUUGAUACUGGGAGACUUGAUUGCGGUCGAGGUUGGCGGAAUUCGUCGUGUAGCGGUGAAAUGCAUAGAUAUGACGAAGAACACCGAUUGCGUAGGCAGCUGACCAGGCCGUAAAUGACGCUCAUGCACGAAAGUGCGGGGAUCGAACAGGAUUAGAUACCCUGGUA